RNAcentral lists this ribosomal RNA (447 nucleotides) under uncultured bacterium. Its description in RNAcentral is "partial 16S ribosomal RNA". It matches the Rfam family "Bacterial small subunit ribosomal RNA", at positions 28 to 523 of the family's 1533-position model. The record is from RNAcentral.
GGUAAACGCUGGCGAUGUGCCUAAGACAUGCAAGUCGAACGCCCCGCAAGGGGAGUGGCAGACGGGUGAGUAACGCGUGGGAAUCUACCCAUCCCUACGGAACAACUCCGGGAAACUGGAGCUAAUACCGUAUACGCCCUUAGGGGGAAAGAUUUAUCGGGGAUGGAUGAGCCCGCGUUGGAUUAGCUAGUUGGUGGGGUAAAGGCCUACCAAGGCGACGAUCCAUAGCUGGUCUGAGAGGAUGAUCAGCCACAUUGGGACUGAGACACGGCCCAAACUCCUACGGGAGGCAGCAGUGGGGAAUAUUGGACAAUGGGCGCAAGCCUGAUCCAGCCAUGCCGCGUGAGUGAUGAAGGCCUUAGGGUUGUAAAGCUCUUUCACCGAUGAAGAUAAUGACGGUAGUCGGAGAAGAAGCCCCGGCUAACUUCGUGCCAGCAGCCGCCGUAA